This 790-nucleotide long non-coding RNA is filed under the name Rattus norvegicus (Norway rat). Its description in RNAcentral is "long non-coding RNA NONRATT023172". Lineage: Eukaryota; Metazoa; Chordata; Mammalia; Rodentia; Muridae. The record is from RNAcentral.
GAAGUAGAAGAGGAUGAUCCAGUGCCUGAGAUCCGCAGAGAUCACUUUGAGGAAGCCAUGCGUUUUGCCCGACGUUCUGUCAGUGAUAAUGACAUUCGGAAGUAUGAAAUGUUUGCCCAGACACUGCAGCAAAGUCGAGGUUUUGGCAGCUUCAGGUAAUCCUGGUGCAAAGGGUAGUUCCUAAGUUGCUUGGGGGACUGUAGAAGCAGUGGUGGGAGUCUAUAGUAGGGAGGCUGCAGCGGUAGUUGUAACAGAUUGUACAGGCCCUAUCCAUAUCCUCUUUUUUUUCUUCUUGUGUAUACAGAUUCCCUUCAGGGAACCAGGGUGGAGCUGGCCCAAGUCAGGGCAGUGGAGGUGGCACAGGUGGCAAUGUGUACACAGAAGACAAUGACGAUGACCUCUAUGGCUAAGUGAUGUGCCAGCAUGCAGCGAGCUGGCCUGGCUGGACCUUGUUCCCUGGGGGUGGGGGCGCUCGCCCAAUGGGAACCAGGGGUGUGCCCAUGGCCUGUUCCAUUCCUCAGUCCGAACAGUUCAGCCCCAGUCAGACUCUGGACAGGGGUUUUCUGUUGCAAAAAAAAAUUACAAAAGCGAUAAAAUAAAAGUGAUUUUCAUUUGGGAGGUGAAGAGUGAAUUACCAGCAAGGAGCUGGGCCUUGGGCCCUCACCAUUUCUGUUGUAGUUUGGGUGGUGCAGGUAACCUGUGUGGUGUGAACCGAGGCGCUGCCCCCACCAUCACCACAGUAAAGCAUCUAUACUCAAUGCUGUCCAAGCCCUCCCUUACCUCUAGCCAG